RNAcentral lists this small nucleolar RNA (108 nucleotides) under Brassica napus (rape). RNAcentral describes it as "Plant small nucleolar RNA R71". It matches the Rfam family "Plant small nucleolar RNA R71". Rfam says of the family: R71 is a member of the C/D box family of snoRNAs containing the C (UGAUGA) and D (CUGA) box motifs. Multiple nearly identical copies of this snoRNA have been identified in Arabidopsis, and it is thought to function as a 2'-O-ribose methylation guide for 18S ribosomal RNA. Lineage: Eukaryota; Viridiplantae; Streptophyta; Magnoliopsida; Brassicales; Brassicaceae. The record is from Rfam by way of RNAcentral.
AAGCCAUGAUGUGGGCAUUGAGACCAAUAGCCCUUGAACCUCUCCCAAGCUUCACUAAAGCCCUCUACGUUCUUCUGCUGAAAGCUAGAGAUCUUCAUUCCUGAUCUU